AUCCGGCAGUGGAUUGAUCAAAGUGUGUUCCACCAUGUUUCGCAGGAGACGGAUGCUCACACUUUAUGGACAACACUAGAGUCUAUGUACGAGAAGAAGAAUGCACAAAAUAAAACUUUUAUCAUUCGAAAAAUUGUGAAUUUAAAGUACAAGGACGGGAGCAGUGUGUCGGAGCAUAUGAGUGAGUUCCAAGGAUUGGAGAACCAGUUGUCCACCAUGAAGUUGAAUCUUGAUGAUGAGAGUCAAGCUCUUUUGCUUCUCAGUUCGUUGCCAAACAGCUGGGAGACUUUGGUGGUGUCUCUAAACAAUUCAGCUCUAGAAGGAAAAAUGACUAUGCAUCUGGUCAAGGACAGUCUUCAUAAUGAGGAGACUAUGACGCCCCCAAAUCCGGGUUAUCUUUAACUCGGGUUUGGUGCUCACGAUUCUAGAAUACCCAUUCGUACUAAAAUAAAACUGUCUUAUAUUACAUAAACAUCGAACUUAAAAUCUCAGGUUCUAGAGACACCUUUACAUACAAUACAAACCAAAUAUUAAUACAACAUAGUACUAACAGUAUUUAUUACAUUUGCUUUUUAAGUUCAUUUAAGCACAGGCGCUUAAUAAAUAACUACUCAACAACUUUGCCUUUUCUUUUGUCUUUUCCAGAUGGACCAGCAACCUCAGUUUUAACUGAAAACAUUAUAUUUAACGCAAGGGUGAGCAACAAGUUUGCCCAGCAAAGAAAUAAGCAGCUAAAUAUAAUGGAACAAAAAUAUUACAGUAAUGAGGAUAUCAUACAGGAGGUAUAGAACAAAGUAAUUCUUAAGAGUGUUGAGUCAAAAGUUAGGAUUUAUCAUGCUGUAAGGUCAAAUGACCAGUGAACUCUAUACUAGAAUUUACAGUAAUAAUACUGCAAUCCAUGAAUACAAACAAUUAUAAAUGUUGUCGUAUAUCCUAGACUCGUACUUCAGGGAAUCAGCCUAAGUACCCUAUAUUGUGCACAACAUAACAGACUAAUAACACUUUACAUGUCCUUCGGAAUCAUAUGUCCGGUACAAUAUGCACCUAUAAAAGGGUAGUUCGUUCACAGCAUUAUAUAAGAAUCCAUACCACAAUAACAAAAUGGUUUGGAAAGCAUUAACUGAUAAAUUCAUGAACAAUAUCAAUAUAUUUCAACAUUUGUCUAACCGAAGUAAUGGUAUUGACAUACUUUCAAUAUAACUUUAUUCAAGAUAGAAAAGUUGAUAUACUAUUCUUUUGAAGCUGAUUGGAAUAAAAAGGCUAUUUAACCAUAUAUUCUUUUGAAGCUGAUUGGAAUAAAAAGGCUAUUUAACCUUAUAUUAUUCAUAAAUAAGGACAGACAGUUCAGAAAUUAAAGAACCUGUCCACUGCAGAAUAAUUUCCCAAUAAAGAGUAAGGGUUAGAAACUUGCCUUGUUUGUAGUCUAUUGCUUAGGAUUUCAGCUUAAUUUGAAGUGUUCUCACAAAAUCCUACACAGUUAUUUAUAUUAACAAGCAUGUUAAUCACAUAGCUAAGUUAUAUAGUUUGUAAGCUCACAUAGUUUCAGUGAUCAUGGUUGUUGCUAAAUUCUUAUUUUUGAUACAUUUUUCAAAUAUCUCAUCCAUGCUUCCAAGAGAUAAUUUUCACUUUGAUGGGUUUCAACAAGUUUUCAACAAGUAAUAGAAAGCACAUUACAGUUAUUAUUUAUUUUAACCAAGCAUGUUAACCAUAUAGCUAAGUCAGAUAUCAUGUAGUUUUAGUGAUCAUGGUUAGAUUUCCUAUAUUUGAUAUAUUUUUCAAAUAUCUCAUCCAUGCUUUUAUCACUACUAUUUUUCUCUAUAAUGGUGUCACACCCAACUUAUAUUGCUUACACCUUAUUAGGAUUUUAACACUUUAAUGGUGUUCAACAUGCUUAUCAAUUAAAAUUUUCUUAUUUCUAGCCACCUCGGUUCAUUCCAACAGUUGAACUUAGUUAGCUAUAUAAUUCAUAUAUGUUCACCUAUUACACUUGAAAUUAGUUCACAUUAGUUUCCACUAUGCCCAACAAGUCCAACACUGCAUUAGUAGUUAGCUGAGGUCACCUAUUAUAGCUAACUACUAGCAGCCCUAUGAUUUCCCCUUUUUUCCCAUCUUCAUUCUUAAUUUGUAAAUGUAUUAUUAAUUCUACAUAUAUGUUUUCAACACAUACUUAAGCUAUACCUAAUGAUUAGCUUCUUAGAAAUUUCUAUUUUCAACCAAUAUGGUUACCUAGAUUGUUUUAGCAGUCAAAAUAUAUCAACUGCUGCUGCUCAAAGGCAGCAGCCAUAAACAUCUUGGCCUUGCUUAGCUUAUAGCUUUCCUUUACAAUUUUAUCUUACUAACUGCAGCUAACAGAGAAUAAUAGGAAGCAUGCCCAGUUCAAUAUUCCACAGUCUUCUUGUUGCUUUUCUAUGCUAGCAGCCAAGCUUGGCUUGGCCUUGUGAGGCUCAGGCCCCUAAGUCAAACAUAAAGCUGCUAUUGCAGCUGCUAAUUUUGGCAACUGCUGCCACACUAGAGUAGCAGUUCGGCCAAUCUUCUUAAUCCAACUAUCUCAUUAAUAUUUUCUACGUAUGAAUGCACUGUGCCAACUGCUACUGUUGUCACUGCUAUUAAGGACAUCAGUCCUGUUUCCCCUAUUCAACUCUCCUUCUUGUAACUUUAUAACUUAUGUUAUGCAACUUUACUUAAGCUCAAGUUUUAGCAUAAUUUUUUUUAUAAUUUAGCAGUCUAUUAAUAAGAAUGUUAAGCCUUCUAAAUCAUGAUUUCCAAGUUACCUAAACUACCAGCAAUUUGCUGCUUUUUAUCACUGAUGUCCGUGAGCAGCAAUUUCCUCCCCUUCCUUGCUUAUUGGUCCAGCCAUUAACUCAUCCUAGCUGGCCCUGCAGCACAACAUAACACAGCAGCGUGCGCUGGCUGCUGCUAUCUGCAGCAGCCCAGCCAGUCCUCCCCCUUUCACAGAUCCUGUUUUAGCAAUUUGAAUAACCUUUGCUAUAUAGGUUUAUUUGCAACCAAUUUUAGAUAUAUUACAUAUGGUAUAUGAAAAUGUUUUUAGCAUUUAUAACACCUCCAUUUCAGUCUUAAUAGGCUGCCCAAAACAGUGCUCGACAUGCUAAUUUUAUUAAUUCUUCUUUAACUCAAGACUGAAUUUUAUUUCAUUCUAAGAGGCUUAACUUGCUAAUUAACAAUACAAGUAAUACAUGAAUCAAUUCCAGCCUUGUUUGUGUCUAAUACCUGACUGUUAACUUAAGCAGUCCACUUGGGACUUUCGUCGAGCAUGUGGUGUGCAUGGUUUCAGUUUACUAGUGCCAUAGCAAUUUGCUUGUUUUAGAAAGCCAACUUUAUCAUCCUUAUUACUCCUCAGCCCAACUUAACUCCUUGUGCCUAGGUUCAGUCCAUACUAUCUUAGCCAUAGCAUAGCAGUCAACAACAACUUAAUAUAUCAACACCUAUCAUGUUAAUAGUCAAUUAUGAUAGCAAUAUAGCAUGUCAUUCAGUUAGAUCCUACGGCAGCUUGCAUAAUAGCUCAAAAAUCCAUAUAACAGUCCUUAUAGCAUUGUCAUAGCACAGUAAUGAAUUUAAGACAUAACAGUCUCUCAUGCCCAUUCCAAGCUUUUUAGGCAAGGUUUUGACAUUAAAUCACCAAAACAGCCAUGAGGUUUACAACCCAAAGGUUUCCACAUCCUGUUUAUGCUAUAUAAUAUAUGUUGAUGCUUUAAAGAGCCUACAUACCAGGCUUUUAACUUUAGUUAAACACAGCCUUUCAUAGGCUUCAAUUUAAUGCAAAAAGCAUGAUUCAGAAAAAUCUUAGUUACCAACACAACAUGAUUAAGUAACAGGUAAACCAAAAUUGGUUAUUUACAUAAUAUCUAGUAGGUAUUUCUUUCAUCCGGAUGGUCUAUUUUAGUUACUUCUUAGACAGUCCAAGACCACACCUCUUUAGACCUUAACAUAUUGUGAAACUUUAAAGUGUCCACAAGAGUAGCUUUUAAAGUUUGAGGUAGUUAUCCCCAGUUAUAAUGCAGUAAGUAUUCUACAGACACUUCAUAAAUAUCAUAAGAAAAGCUUCUAAUAUCAGUCAUAAGGAAGCUUACCAAUUCAGUCUAUUCUUACUUGCCUUGUCCAAGUGUUUAUCUAUCUUAGUUUGUCAUUUAUUUUGAGACAUGUUAAGGUCAAGCCUAGAGUAUACUUAUAAGCAAUUUGAUACUAGUUUGGAUUCUAAAUCAUGGUUAAUAUUCAAAGUUACAAAAUCAGGCCUUAGUUCGGCAAUUCAUCAAACAUGUAGAGGGCAGUGUAAAUUCUUGUACUUAAAACAUAAUUUCUAACCCUCUGCCCCCAGCCGUAUGGCUUAAACAAUAUCAAGCAUAAGACCAAACUUAUCAGUACCAAACCCAGCAGUUCAAAUACAUGAAAGCAGUCAUUAUAUUAAGUUACCAUAACAGUCAUACACGUUUUCUGGUCAUUGACAGUUCAGUUUGCUAAUUAAUUCAAUAGCCAUCCUGUUCAUUUAUCAGUUCAGUUGCUACCCGGAAUGGAAAGAUUAGAAAGGCCAGAAUUGGCUUACCUUGCUGAUUCGAAGGUGUCAAGUGGGUUGAGCUACUCAAUUCCUUUUCCCCUCUAGCCGAACUCUUCACUCUUGCUCUAUAUGACCGUUGCUGCUAAUUCUUUUGAACCCAGUUAAGUGAUGAGGCUAAUUGGUUUUGGGUAAUAACUUGGCCUUUUUAUGGCUGAGUUUAACUUCUUUACUGUGGAUCACAUCACCUCUAGUUGGCCCCUACCCAACCCUCAUCCUAGUCUAGCUUGCACAGCCCCCUUCUCAGCCACCAUAGGUUGUCUGCUACCUUAUCUUCUGCAAGACUACUGACCUGUUUUGUCUGCUAACCAAGUUCACUCACCUGCCAACCAAACUAACUUAGAGUCUGCAAAAUCUGCUAAUCACCUGACUAAUGUAACUAUCUCAGCUAACUACCUUCCUAUUUGGGCUGUUACAUGAAGCUUAAGGAAGGCUGGCUUUAAAUUGCUACUAGUAUUUGAACAAAGAUGAUAGAAAAAUCUAAUUCACACAUAUUAGAUAAGUAAUAGCUCUUUAUACCAAAUAAUAAAAGGUUUGCAAGCAUAUACUUGGGUUGGCCCAAGUUAAGAAUAGUGGUCUUUU
RNAcentral lists this long non-coding RNA (5149 nucleotides) under Panax ginseng (ginseng). RNAcentral's name for it is "long non-coding RNA (PGIN_LNC011992)". The record is from RNAcentral. Lineage: Eukaryota; Viridiplantae; Streptophyta; Magnoliopsida; Apiales; Araliaceae.